RNAcentral lists this transfer RNA (74 nucleotides) under Thiomicrospira sp. WB1. It matches the Rfam family "tRNA". From Rfam's summary of the family: Transfer RNA (tRNA) molecules are approximately 80 nucleotides in length. Their secondary structure includes four short double-helical elements and three loops (D, anti-codon, and T loops). Lineage: Bacteria; Pseudomonadati; Pseudomonadota; Gammaproteobacteria; Thiotrichales; Piscirickettsiaceae. The record is from Rfam by way of RNAcentral.
GCGCCCGUAGCUCAAUUGGAUAGAGUACUCGGCUACGAACCGAGCGGUUGGGGGUUCGACUCCUCCCGGGCGCG